RNAcentral lists this unclassified non-coding RNA (1576 nucleotides) under Drosophila mojavensis. RNAcentral describes it as "GI24101". The record is from RNAcentral. Lineage: Eukaryota; Metazoa; Arthropoda; Insecta; Diptera; Drosophilidae.
ACAAAAAUAUUCAAUACAACUAUACGACUCAACACGUCCACAUAACACUAACAGAUCUCUAAACUCUUAAACUCAAAUACAUAAUUUAUACAUAGACAUACAUAACAUAGACAAUACACGGUCAAGAUGCCAUGUUUCAAGCAGGAGAAGAGCCUUGAGUUCCGCUCUCGGCGGGAUACCACCAAUGAUAGGGAUCCGAUGGCGCCCAAGCCGGUUCGUCCUCGCGCCAUGCGCUACCAUGGACUCUUUGGCAUGUCCAUUGCAGCCCAGCAUCUCAUUGUGGACGAGAAAUGGACGCCCAGCUGUAUUACCGAUCUCUAUGGCAACAUGGCCGAGCUGCUGAAGCGGCGCGUUAUCUACAAACAGCACGAGACAAGGACCCAUCGCGCCCUGCUCCUGGUGGAGAACAAGCGCGUGAAAACUGAAUGCGCAGAUGGGCGCCUCAAGCUGCAGAAAAUCACGGUCGGCAACAAUGCGCACCAGAUCCGGAACUUUCUGAUUAUGCACCGGGAUAUGCAGCGGCUGUACCAGAGGAUGCCCAUCUAUCUGGUCGCCGACAACAUCAAUCAACGGACCUUCGUUAUGCGCAAGGAGCGCGAUCGUCUGGACGCUCGACUGCAGCAGCUGAAGCAUAAAUAUCGAGUUUUAUUGAUGGAGAGGUCCAGGGCGGUAAAUAUGAUUAAGUACGAGAAUGAGUAUAUCCUGCAGGAGGAGCUGCAGUCGCGUGUGCUCCUCAAGAAGAUAGAAAACUCGAAGGUGCGCUUGAAUGCCAUACGCACCAUAAAUACGACAUAUAAGAAAAUGCGGCAGGUCCUGCUGCAGGAUGAGAUUUUCUAUGAGCCGAUUCUGCGCUCCCUCGAUGACGAUAUGGAGGACCAGGUGAACUUCAUCAAGCACAUACUCUAUCUGGGCAUGCCGGCCAUCGCCAAGUUCAAAGUCCUGAAUCGCGAGCUCUUGCAAUUGUCGGAGAAGGCUCGCAAGAAUCAACUUGCCAAGAUUCAGAUAUUGAACUCGCUGAAAAAGCCAAUUGUUAUUGGACCACCCCAGGUCGUAGUCAGAGAGAUACAGACCAAUAAUCCCAAGCGUUAUCUUCGCCUCACCGAGAGCAUGGCGAUUCUCAAAGCUGAGCUGCAGACGAUUGAAAAUACAAUCAAAAAUCUUCGAUUGACCGUUUUGUGUUCGCAAGCUAAGGAGAUUUAUCCACGCAUUAAGACUCAAAUGGAAAACAAUGAAAAACUAAAACGGGAAAUCGAAAAAAAGAUGCAGGCCAAACUGAUGCUUGAGCAAAAAUUGAAAUGCUCCACUCUGCUCUCGGAUGUACUACUAAACAAUCUAUCCGAGGAAGAAAUUAACCCAUUUACCUGCCCGACAGUCGUCUGGAGCGCAUUAGAGAGCUACAGCUAAUGAUGAAGAGCGACAAUGAGUUUGAGGAGCAAAGUAUCGCUCACAUACAGAAUCGGGCCGAUGCCUAUGUGCUAAUGCGAUGGACCGUUUGGAAUCUGUGGGAGAUCCUUCGUCAUGUAGAUCGCAAUCCUAAACUGUACAAAAGACAAUACCCGAAUGAAUCCUUGAAACU